RNAcentral lists this ribosomal RNA (500 nucleotides) under uncultured bacterium. RNAcentral's name for it is "partial 16S ribosomal RNA". It matches the Rfam family "Bacterial small subunit ribosomal RNA", at positions 30 to 523 of the family's 1533-position model. The record is from RNAcentral.
AUUGAACGCUGGCGGAAUGCUUUACACAUGCAAGUCGAACGGCAGCACGGACUUCGGUCUGGUGGCGAGUGGCGAACGGGUGAGUAAUGUAUCGGAACGUGCCCAGUCGUGGGGGAUAACGUAGUGAAAAUUACGCUAAUACCGCAUACAAUCUAUGGAUGAAAGCGGGGGAUCGCAAGACCUCGCGCGAUUGGAGCGGCCGAUAUCAGAUUAGGUAGUUGGUGGGGUAAAGGCCCACCAAGCCAACGACCUGUAGCUGGUCUGAGAGGACGACCAGCCACACUGGAACUGAGACACGGUCCAGACUCCUACGGGAGGCAGCAGUGGGGAAUUUUGGACAAUGGGCGAAAGCCUGAUCCAGCCAUUCCGCGUGCAGGAUGAAGGCCCUCGGAUUGUAAACUGCUUUUGUACAGAACGAAAAGGUUUCUACUAAUACUAGGAGCUCAUGACGGUACUGUAAGAAUAAGCACCGGCUAACUACGUGCCAGCCGCCGCGGUAA